Molecule: long non-coding RNA, 1662 nt
Filed under: Nicotiana tabacum (common tobacco)
Lineage: Eukaryota; Viridiplantae; Streptophyta; Magnoliopsida; Solanales; Solanaceae
Description: long non-coding RNA (NTAB_LNC008268)
Source: RNAcentral
GAAUAAUGCUGAUCUCAACAGGUAAUAAGCAAAACACUAAAGCUUAAACAUUUUGACCCAUAUUCCAUUGUAAUAGUCCUUUAGAGUCCUUUUGUACAAAUCUGAACUCAGAUUCAUGCAAACCACUAAUAAGUUAAAGCACAUGAUUUGUUUAAAGUUGCAAGUGAGCAUAAAACUGAAACGGAAAUGCAUUAACCACAAUAAGAACCAAAACUAACUAAGACAUUCGAAGGUUUUCAAAAAUGUAGAAAACAAAACAUUUGCUGAAAACUAAUGCUAUUUGUGUUUCAAACUUCAAGCAAACACUUGGGCCUCUCUAUUUCCUAUGUCAAGGGGAUGAACAAAUACCUGAAAAUAAAGGAAACAAAAGAGUGAAGUUCAGCAGAAGGCAAAGCAGUAGCAAUAAACCAAUGAGAGAUCCAGCAAUGGAACAGUAAAAUCCCAAAACUAAGAGCUUCAAAACCAGGUCUUCAAGUCCAGAAAUCAAACCAUAUUUUUCAAAUAAAUGCAAAAUCUGACAUUUUCAGUAGUUUUGGACUAACUUAUGAAGAUCAAAUUCAAUCCAUUUCCACACUCAGAUGAGUCAAAAUUAUUUCAGAAGUUGAAAAUAAUUCAAAAAUCACUGAAGAAACUCAAUGAAACAGUAAAAGUUCGGUCGUUUGUAUUUUUCUGGAUUUUUCUCUUGAAAAGUCCCCCUUGAAAUGCAAGGUAAGGUGCCUUUAUAGGCAAAGCAUUAGGGCAGCCCCCUGAGAAUCAGUUUUGCGCCUUAGUCCUUUUCUUAUUUUCUAUUUUUGCUUAGGAAUCCUCAAGUUAAAAUUCAAAAAUCCUCUUAAGUCCCCACCCCAGCUUCCUAGAAGCUUCUUAAUCUGUUACAAUAAUAUUCCCUUACCUAGACUACCCAAAUUACCCCUGUUUUUACUGCAGAAAACUUGACCAAAACAUGGGUCAAGAUUGACCCAAAUUUAAUCAGAGGGUCUGAGUCUACAAAUUUUGCGCCAGACCUUUUCUUUUAAGCCUAAUUAGACUCGAGGUUUCACAGAAGAAAUCAAAGAAAAGAGGAGGAUUGGGACUUAACGGAAUCCACAGGUUCUUCAGCCUAAAACUUUAAGGCCCAACUAGAAAAGGCAAACUAAUAAAAACUCAGAAACACCAAGUAACUAAAAAUUAAAAAGCAUGCAGAAGAUUUGAAUUGCCGGAGAAACAGAAAAGAAAAAGCAAAAAUCAAAACAGGCAUAAAGAAACAUAAGAGUAAAAUAAAGAGACUUACAUGAAGAUUAAAAUUCAGAAAUUAAAGACAAUCAUACCUAAAAGAACAGCCUAGGCCGUAAGAAAUGCAAGAAAACUUCGAAUCUUCAACGUUUCGAAUCAAUCGGAGAUUAGUCAUGUGUUUUUAGAAAAAAACGCACGAAUAAACCUGAAAUCGUCACAGGAGCCUUGAAUUGGAGAACUUGGGGUUUUAGGGUUAAACUCUGAUUUAAGAUUCGAGAAAUUUGGGCAAGAUUCAAGGGAAACGGGGCGGAGAUUUGGAAAGAGGGGAGUGAGGGGUCAUGGGGUGUUAGUUUGGGGAUGUUUGGAGCCGUCGCCGCCGGUGGAGUUUGGGGGAAUUUCAGGGCGGCUGGUUAGGGUUAGGUCUUUGAGAAGAGGGAGAUGGGGAUGGAGGGG